This is a long non-coding RNA of Pipra filicauda (Wire-tailed manakin), 1128 nucleotides long. RefSeq lists it as uncharacterized. The record is from RefSeq and is a predicted model, not a curated record. The transcript is spliced from 5 exons. Lineage: Eukaryota; Metazoa; Chordata; Aves; Passeriformes; Pipridae.
GAGCGGAGCGUGCGGGUCUUCGGGGGUUCCUCAGUGGGACUGGGAAUGGGAGCGAGACCGGCCCUUCCCGGCCUGGUCAUGGCGAAACUGAGGGGCCCUUCGGUGGCGGGAAGCCGGUGCUGGCCGAGAAGGGCCGCGCUGCCCUUCCCGCGCCAUGUUGUGGCGAAGCUGCCUGAGGGCCAGUCCCGCUUCCUCUCGGCCCCGGCGCUGAGCGGCCCCGGUGGGGAGACGUGAAGGGGAGAGUGAAGCCCAUCAGCAGGCAAAAAAUGAAGGGGCAGAGAUUGUGUGUCUUCAGAAAAGAAGGGUGAUGCUUCACACAAAGGCUGCCCAGCGAAUGCCUUUGUAACACUGCUUUCCAAGAGGCAAAGCCAUGUGACUGGCAGAGCAGGAGGUGUCCCAGACCCGAGUUCCUCUCGAGAGCAGGGCUGAGUUCUGGAAUGAUCUUCAAAUGUCAAAGGUCAUGGCCUGAGUUUCAGAAUUCCUAACAAAAGUGGCAGCAGCAAAAGAAGUGAUUGGCAGUGUCUGCGUGUGAAGAUUCGUGGAUUCCUCAAAAGCUGAUCAUCUGUGUUUUCUCUACAUGGCUAAGAAGGAUUUUUAAAAAAAGGACUAAAUAAAGAUGCCACCUACCAUAAAUCUGAAUGGGGCUCGUGUAGUUGUAGCACCCCAAGUAACACUAUUUUUUUAACCAUUCUAGGAUUUAAGACUUCUGUUUGUAGAUCUGGGAGCUGGGAUGGUUUAGUACUUCCUGGAAUUAAAGGUAUUUCUUACCUCCAUCCCCUUGGGCACAAAUCUCUGCUGCAGAAGCAGCGGCAUCCAGUGAGAUCAGAUUAUCAGUGUUUGUGUUCUGGCUUUUUAUUCCAGCCUCUGUGGGAAAUCUGGAGGAGGUUUGACUGUAAAAUAGCUUUGCCUUUACUCAUUCUCUCCUAUAUUGCUGUGUAACUUGUAAACAAUGAGCACUGCAAAGAAAGACUUUGUGCUUUUUAGGGAUGAGCAAAACUGCUUUUGGGGUUUUUGAGUCAUCAGUGAUCCCUGGGAGUAUCCAGUACUGUGGGAUCUGUGGAUCAGUGAUGGUGAUGGGACAAGUUGUUGUCAGAAGUGUUUAUUUCAAUAAAUUUGUCAGGUACAGGA